Molecule: non-coding RNA, 45 nt
Organism: Poecilia formosa (Amazon molly)
Lineage: Eukaryota; Metazoa; Chordata; Actinopteri; Cyprinodontiformes; Poeciliidae
Source: Rfam
CCAAAGGCUCUUUUAAGAGCCACCAACUGUGUCUGAAGAACGCUG